Molecule: ribosomal RNA, 468 nt
Filed under: uncultured bacterium
Lineage: Bacteria
Description: partial 16S ribosomal RNA
Rfam family: Bacterial small subunit ribosomal RNA
Source: RNAcentral
GACGAACGCUGGCGGCGUGCUUAACACAUGCAAGUCGAACGGAAAGGCCCUGCUUUUGUGGGGUGCUCGAGUGGCGAACGGGUGAGUAACACGUGAGUAACCUGCCCUUGACUUUGGGAUAACUUCAGGAAACUGGGGCUAAUACCGGAUAGGAGCUCCUGCUGCAUGGUGGGGGUUGGAAAGUUUCGGCGGUUGGGGAUGGACUCGCGGCUUAUCAGCUUGUUGGUGGGGUAGUGGCUUACCAAGGCUUUGACGGGUAGCCGGCCUGAGAGGGUGACCGGCCCCCUUUGGGAUGGGAUACGGGCCCGACUCCUACGGGGGGCAAGAGUGGGGAAAAUUGGAAAAUGGGCGGAAGCCUGAUGCAGCAACGCCGCGUGCGGGAUGACGGCCUUCGGGUUGUAAACCGCUUUCGCCUGUGACGAAGCGUGAGUGACGGUAAUGGGUAAAGAAGCACCGGCUAACUACGUG